GAUGAACGCUGGCGGCGUGCCUAAUACAUGCAAGUCGAGCGAACAGACGAGGAGCUUGCUCCUCUGACGUUAGCGGCGGACGGGUGAGUAACACGUGGAUAACCUACCAAUAAGACUGGGAUAACUUCGGGAAACCGGAGCUAAUACCGGAUAAUAUAUUGAACCGCAUGGUUCAAUAGUGAAAGACGGUUUUGCUGUCACUUAUAGAUGGAUCCGCGCCGCAUUAGCUAGUUGGUAAGGUAACGGCUUACCAAGGCAACGAUGCGUAGCCGACCUGAGAGGGUGAUCGGCCACACUGAAACUGAGACACGGUCCGGCCUCCAACGGGAGGCAGAAGUAGGGAAUCUUCCGCAAUGGGCGAAGGCCUGACGGGGCAACGCCGCGGGGGGGAUGAAGGUCUUCGGAUCGUAAACCCCUGUUAUUAGGAAAGAAAAAAUGUGUAGGUAACUAUGCACGUCUUGACGGUACCAAAUCAGAAAGCCACGGCUAACUACGU
RNAcentral lists this ribosomal RNA (496 nucleotides) under uncultured bacterium. RNAcentral's name for it is "partial 16S ribosomal RNA". It matches the Rfam family "Bacterial small subunit ribosomal RNA", at positions 28 to 506 of the family's 1533-position model. The record is from RNAcentral.